RNAcentral lists this ribosomal RNA (614 nucleotides) under Mimela siliguria. RNAcentral describes it as "partial 16S ribosomal RNA". It matches the Rfam family "Bacterial large subunit ribosomal RNA", at positions 1844 to 2747 of the family's 2925-position model. The record is from RNAcentral. Lineage: Eukaryota; Metazoa; Arthropoda; Insecta; Coleoptera; Scarabaeidae.
UUUAAAGUCUAACCUGCCCAAUGAGUAGUUAAAUGGCCGCGGUAAUUUGACCGUGCAAAGGUAGCAUAAUCAUUAGUUUUUUAAUUGAAAGCUGGUAUGAAUGGUUGGACGAGAAAGUAACUGUCUCAAUUUAAUUGUAUUUAGAAUUUUAUUUAUAAGUAAAAAAGCUUAUAUAUAUUUAAAAGACGAGAAGACCCUAUAGAGUUUUAUAAUUUAUUAAAUUAAAAAGGUUUAGAAUAUUUAUAUUUUUAAUUUAGUAAAUUAUUUUGCUGGGGCAGCAGAAAAAUUAAAUAAACUUUUUUUUAUUUAUUAACAUUGAUUUAUGAAUAAAUGAUCCAUAGAUUAUGAUUAUAAGAUUAAAUUACCUUAGGGAUAACAGCGUAAUUUUUUUUUAGAGUUCUUAUCGAAAAAAGAGUUUGCGACCUCGAUGUUGGAUUAAAAUUAACUUUUGGUGCAGGAGCUAAAAGGUUAGGUCUGUUCGACCUUUAAAAUUUUACAUGAUCUGAGUUUAAACCGGCGUGAGCCAGGUUGGUUUCUAUCUUUAAAUAGUUAUAAAUACUUUAGUACGAAAGGAUUAGGUAUUUUUAAAAUUUAAUAUAUUAUGAAUAUGAGUA